AAAAAGGGCAUCUUUUCUCCUACAAACCGAUGUAUCAUACUGAGCAGAGCAGGUUUCGGAUGUAAAAAAAAAAUCAGGAUGAUGUAGAUCUAAAAAAAAAUUUUUUUAUAUGUUCACUCUAUUUAUUUGUGCCAUUCACACAAUGUUUACUUUUUUUUUUCUUCCCAAGUUUAGGUGUCCAGGUACAGAAAACAACUAAAUGUAAAAUAGCAUAGUCUCCAUUAUUUAAAAAAAAAAAAAAAAAAAAAAACACCCCACACACCUUCAACAUUUCUCACAUUUUGCUAUAGUUUAGAAUAUGGUAAUAAAGUUACAAGAACAAAUGUCAGAACUUUGAUAGAAAGGUACGUAAUGGGUGGCUAUCAACCAAAACAUCAGACAAGGGUUGUAACACACAGAAUCGGCAACAGAAGUUUGAAGUCGUUACGUUUUUUUUAAAUGGAUAUAUGUGCAAAUCAGGAGAGAUGCAGGGGUAAGAAACCAGAGGAUGCAUUGAGCAGGGUGAUGACCGAUUUGAUAUGGGCUUGCUCAGUACUGCCGGUGGGGUGACCAGGGUGGAGGAAGUUGCACAUACCUCUGGGUAAAUGCAGAAGAGGAGACCUUGAAGGAGGGAUCGCUGGAGGAACACAGGAGUCUAGGAUGACCGUGCUGACAAAAGGAUGACUGAAUAGAGAGCUGGUGCUGGUGAUUAAAUGAUUGGAUUGUGAACAUGUGCUGGUGAUGAGUGAGGGAGUGCGAUGUGGGUGAUGAGCCUGACCAAUUGUGACAAUGGUGCUGGAGGCUACGGCCCUGCAUGGGGAGCAGGUGUUGGUGCCUGUCCUGCCUAAAAGGCCUAAACAACAAGCACAAAGAAAAUGUUGCUGACAUCUGAAGUGCUCAAGCUCAGUCAAGUGUUGCCCUCCAACACAUAUCUGCAUCUCCAAAAGUCUCCGGGCUUCCUCUCAGGGGAACACAGAGAAACACUUCCUCCUGCUGUGUUAGAGAGUUCGAGUCCUGAUUGCAAAUGUGAUGUAGUUAUUGAAUGUAAUCUAAAUUCAACUUUCGCUGCUCUUCUUAGAAGUACUGAGCCCAAGCCCAGAUCAGUAUUUCUAUUUAUUUCAAUCAGAUACACUAUGAUAUA
Long non-coding RNA from Carassius gibelio (silver crucian carp), 1120 nucleotides. RefSeq lists it as uncharacterized. The record is from RefSeq and is a predicted model, not a curated record. The transcript has 3 exons. Lineage: Eukaryota; Metazoa; Chordata; Actinopteri; Cypriniformes; Cyprinidae.